GGUUCCAUGGUGUAAUGGUUAGCGCUCUGAACUCUGAAUCCAGCGAUCUGCUUUCAAAUCUCGGUGAGACCU
Molecule: transfer RNA, 72 nt
Filed under: Danio rerio (zebrafish)
Lineage: Eukaryota; Metazoa; Chordata; Actinopteri; Cypriniformes; Danionidae
Rfam family: tRNA
About the family: Transfer RNA (tRNA) molecules are approximately 80 nucleotides in length.
Source: Rfam by way of RNAcentral